CUAAAACACCCUACUUUUCUUCCCCCGGCUAAUCUGCAGUGCCUGGAAAACCCAGGCUCUGCUUCAAAGCUUCAGCAUCAAGGGUCCAGCCAAUGGGAGAAAGUUGCUGAGCAGAGGAGAAUGCUCUUGGCCAAUGAGUAGAGAAUGCCUUAUAAUUGGGGGAUGCCCAUAUAUUUAUAUUUAUUGGGCAAGUGUUUUGAAAGACCUUGUUCUGAAAAGUUCGUGUACCAUUAUAUUUGAGCCUCCCAUAUCCCUUUUUUAAAAAUUGAUAUAAAAUUAAUGUAGCAUAGAAUUAACAGUAUUUAGUGUACAAUUUAGUGGCUUUCAGCUCAUUCAUAAAAUUGUGCAAUCAUUAUCACUAACCCUAUUCCAGAAUAUUUUUAUCACCCUCAAAAGAAGCUCCAUACACACUGGUAUGGUUUAGAUCUGUGUCCUGCAAAAAUCACUUGUCAAAUAAUAAUCUCCACUGUUGGAGGUGGGGCCUAGUGGGAGGUGAUUUUAUCAUAGGGGUGAUUUCUCAUGGUUUAAUACCAUCCUCCUUGAUGCUGUCAUGGCAAUAAUGAAUUCACCUGAUAUCUGGUUGUUCAAAAGUGUGUGGCACCUCCCUCCUCCCUCUCUUUCUCCUGCUCUGGCCAUAUGAAGUGCUUUCUCCCCCUUUGCCUUCUACCAUGACUGGAAGUGUCCUGAGGCCUCCCCAGAAGCAGAAGCUGCUAUGUAUGCUUUCUGUACAGUCUGUGGAACUGUAAGAUGAAGUAAACACAGGGCAGCCUCUCUCUCCCACUGACGAUACAAUCGAUAGAGGGCAUGGUGCAGCUAUUUGAAUGAUCCAAACAGUAAAUACCAGCAAGUGGAUGGGUGAAAACAACCAGGAUUCGAAGUACCACAAAGCUGGUGAUAAGAAAACUGAGACACAGAAAAGUCACACAAGAUUAUCCAGGUCAACACAGAGAACAGUGGAACCGGCACCUGACCCCAAGCAGGCGGAGACUUCGUGACCACACCACACUGCCACAGGGAACAGGCAGGGAAAACAAUGGGGCUAGCAGGACAAAAAUGACAUUUCCCAGAGUUUCUUGCUGCCUGGAUCUGGCUGCAGUUUCAGUUUUGCCAACAAGAGGCAUUUCCAUGAGCUCUGGACAGUGGCAGGGAGGCAGAGGCGCUCCUCUGCAGUGUGGUGGACGGUCCGCGGGCUCCUGCCAACGUGAGGAUCUGCAGCAACUGGUAUAUCCAUGGUCUUGUCACCAGCUUCCUGAAUGCGGGGCAGCUGGAGCCACACUAGUGGUCCUUGCAGGGGCAGCAGCUGUCUCCUGGUCUCAGGCUCACAGCUGUGGGGAUGUGACCUUAAGCCAAAAGCCUAGCAGUGGUCCUGACCUUCAUUUGUCUAGGCCCUCUGAUCACUCUAUAAGUCGCUAUUUCCCUUAUUAAAUCUCUUUCUGCUGGAUA
Long non-coding RNA from Symphalangus syndactylus (siamang), 1443 nucleotides. RefSeq lists it as uncharacterized. The record is from RefSeq and is a predicted model, not a curated record. Lineage: Eukaryota; Metazoa; Chordata; Mammalia; Primates; Hylobatidae.